UCCGAGUUGACCCCGGCAGUCUCCCAUGGGUCCCCACCAUUACGUGCUGGCAACAUGGAACGAGGGUUGCGCUCGUUGCGGGACUUAACCCAACAUCUCACGACACGAGCUGACGACAGCCAUGCACCACCUGUGCACUUGCCCCGAAGGGCUGCCGUGUUUCCACGACAUUCAAGUGCAUGUCAAGCCUUGGUAAGGUUCUUCGCGUUGCGUCGAAUUAAACCACAUACUCCACCGCUUGUGCGGGCCCCCGUCAAUUCCUUUGAGUUUCAGUCUUGCGACCGUACUCCCCAGGCGGCGAACUUAACGCGUUAGCUUCGACACUGAGAGCCUGAUUGCUCCCAACGUCCAGUUCGCAUCGUUUACGGCGUGGACUAC
RNAcentral lists this unclassified non-coding RNA (378 nucleotides) under uncultured bacterium. RNAcentral's name for it is "contains 16S-23S intergenic spacer region". The record is from RNAcentral.